This is a non-coding RNA of Oryza glaberrima (African rice), 193 nucleotides long. The record is from Rfam. NCBI's taxonomy places the organism in Eukaryota, Viridiplantae, Streptophyta, Magnoliopsida, Poales, Poaceae.
AAUAAAUACAACCUAAAUUUCCGUGUCCAACUUUAAUCGUUCGUCUUAUUUAAUUUUUUUAUAAUUAGUAUUUCUAUUGUUAUUAGAUUAUAAAACAUGAAUAGUAUUUUAUGCGUGACUUAUGUUUUUUUAGCUUUCUAAAAAAACGAAUAAUCAAAGUUGGACACGGAAUUGGCUCAUGACUACGUUUAUU